This 586-nucleotide long non-coding RNA is filed under the name Ananas comosus (pineapple). RNAcentral's name for it is "long non-coding RNA (ACOM_LNC005652)". Lineage: Eukaryota; Viridiplantae; Streptophyta; Magnoliopsida; Poales; Bromeliaceae. The record is from RNAcentral.
CAUGCAUGUAUAUUUAUUCCCAAAUAAAAAUAAAUAUUUUUUUUCUCACGCAUAAUAUCUGCAUCGGUCAAUUUUUUUAUCACAUAAUAUCCAUGAAUUUUUUAAAUAUCUCAACAUAAUUAUAGAUGAUUUUGAAAUAAUUUUUCUUUCAUUAUAGGUAAUUUUUAAUAAUAUAGCAAAAGAUAUUAAUUUUUUGCCAUUAGAUCUUAUCUAAUGAUUGAAAAUAAAAAUAUGAGUUUUACUCUUUUUUUCGCAACUAACUAUUUCAAAUAAUUCACAAUAGAUUUUUGCUUAUUUCGCAACCAAUAAUUUUAAAUAAUUAAUUAUCUGCCAAUACAAAAUUUGAGUUUGCAACAGAUUAUUUUCACCGCGAAAAAAUAAUUCGCAACAGAUUAUUGUGUAUUUCGCAACCAAUAAUUUUAAAUAAUUAAUUAAAUCAAUAAUUUUAAAUAAUUCGUAACCAAAUAUCUAUAUUUGAGUUUGCCACGUGGCAAGCAUAUAGAAAGCCACGUAUCAGCUUCUCACAUAGGGUUCAUUAAGGGUUCUACUUUUAUAUAUAGUAAUAGUAAUAGAUUGCAUACAAUUU